CGCAACUUGCGCCUUUUGGUAUUCCGAAAGGCAUGCCUGUUUGAGUGUCAUGUGGACUCAACCCCCGAGGUUUUUUGCCUUGGACGGUUGGAAUUGGGCGCUGCCUCUGGCUCGCCUUAAAAGCGUUAGUGGGAACAGCCCCAUCUCAGGUGUAAUAAGUUUCACUUGUGAUCCGGUGACAGCCCGCUUACAACCCCCAUAUUUAUGACUCUGGCCUCAAAUCAGGUAGGACUACCCGCUGAACUUAA
This 248-nucleotide unclassified non-coding RNA is filed under the name Tremellales sp. RNAcentral's name for it is "partial contains 5.8S ribosomal RNA, internal transcribed spacer 2, and large subunit ribosomal RNA". The record is from RNAcentral. Lineage: Eukaryota; Fungi; Basidiomycota; Tremellomycetes; Tremellales.